CCACAUCAUAUUUUCUUUUGGUCGAAUAAGCUAUGUACGUUUGGUUAACAGGUUCUUCUACCCUGCGCCGUUCCCUUGGCCUCACCGAUUCAGCGCGCCCCUCCCUCCUGGAGCCAUUUUCUUGUCGCCCGCCGUCUGAAACUCCCACAUCCAGGCCUCGUCCAAGGAGAAAGACCGUCAUCUAAAGUAAUGGCCGCCAAGAUAUGCAUAGCCAUUCGAUCAUUUGGUCGCCCAUUGACGGAAAACAUCAACUGGGGACUUCCACCUUACACAAGGAAGAUUGCACUGCCGGAAUCAAGAGUCUUGUACACUGUGUUACGAUCACCUCAUGUUGAUAAAAAGUCCAGAGAACAGUUUGAAAUGAAUGUCAAGAAACAGUUUCUGGUCAUAAACACAGAAACACAUGAGUUGCAAAAGAAGUUCUUUUGGUUAAAGCGCCAGCGCAUAUUUGGAGCCCAAUACGAACUCCGAUUUUCUUGCAAGACACGUUUGGACAAGGAAAAACUCCAGAGAUUGCUUUGAAGUAAGAUCCGUGCAUUGACCCCAACUGCUGGAUGGUUCUGGUUUUGUUUUGAUAGGAAGAGGAGAUGAAAAAAAAGGUGCACUUCAAAUGUUAACGAAGAUUGGUUGAUCUCUAAUAAGUUCUGUACGCUUAUGUUUUGGUUUUAGCAGAUAGGAUGACAAUUCGGAAUCGCUUUUGGUUACAGUAGAAUUUGUUUACUUGUUAUUGUGCAAUGAUUCAACACUUUAUAUUUCAGCUUGGGUUUGGAUGUUUCACAGACUAUUUUGCUUUUUAUCAACAAAUAAUCGCAUCAUUCUCUAA
Long non-coding RNA from Malus domestica (apple), 823 nucleotides. RefSeq lists it as uncharacterized. NCBI's taxonomy places the organism in Eukaryota, Viridiplantae, Streptophyta, Magnoliopsida, Rosales, Rosaceae. The record is from RefSeq and is a predicted model, not a curated record.